Molecule: long non-coding RNA, 2152 nt
Organism: Amphiprion ocellaris (clown anemonefish)
Lineage: Eukaryota; Metazoa; Chordata; Actinopteri; Pomacentridae
Exons: 3
Source: RefSeq, a predicted model, not a curated record
UUUACUACAUAUAUAGCUGGUGGUAAAUUCAAAAAUAUGUAGAUGAGCAAAUCAAGUAUAGUAAGGGCAGUGCAGAGUAGAUCGGUGGAAAUGGGCAGCUGGAGGUGGGAGAACCACCAUAGAUCUGAAGCAUCCAGCUCUAGGACCAGGGACACUCGGAGAAAGGACACAGAAAGAAACAGAGUGAAUGUAAUGCAAUAAUGGUAUAUAUAGUAAAUACAUAGGUAGUUAGAGAAGGGCUCAGUGCAUCAAGAGAGGUCCCCCAGCAGCCUAGGCCUAUAGCAGCAUAACUAGGGGCAAACUAAAGGAUGUCGAGAGGGGAAGUCAGUUGUGCAAAUGAAAACACCAGCUCACCCCGUCAGGUCACUAGGUACAUUGUAUUUAUAUUGGUACCAACCUGCUGUUCAUCUGGUUCCUUCUGUUUAUGUUCUCUCUGUGACUUUGCAGGGUUUUCUCUUUGUGCUCCGACUUCCUCCUGCAAUCCAAACACAUACAUGGAAAGUUAGCUGGUGAUUCUAAACUAAAAUUAAGUGUUAGUGUGAAUGGUUGUCUGUCUCUUUGUGAUUGCUCUGAGGUGGACUGGUGACCUGCAGCUCCAACACCUCUAUAGGAUAAAAGGUGUAGCUAAUGGAUAGAGGACGCCCUUUGUUACAGGGCACAACAUACACAAAAUAAACAAACACAAUAGGAUUAGAUUUCUUUGUUGUCUCACCUUUUGUGUCACUGUAAUAAGCAUCCCCUCUUCCAUAAUCUGAGCUCAGAUGCUGAGGCUGCUCCUUAUCUAGUAUCUUGUCCUGAUUUGAUCUUUCAUUGUACUGGGUGUCUUGGAGAGAGAGCUCUAAAGAGAGCAAAACACAGCAAGCAGGUUCAUUAAAGCACAGAUAAUUAUAUUAGAACUGCACAUGCUCAUAUUAACAUGUAGUAUCUAAUGAACCAGUUCACUCCAUGGACUCAUCUUGUUUUAGAUGAGUGGUCUCACGUCUCAGGCACUGGUCCUGGAUCUGUUUCCCAUCAUCCUUUUCUUCUUAACAACUUAUUGCUCUUCGGUGUUCCAUCAUUUUUGAAAUCGCUUGGUGUCCAGCAAGCAGCUAUUAAGAAAAAACACAUAUAGACUGAUUUUAUUUCUGAUUCUUACCUAAAUAAUUACAUUUUCUCAGUCAGCAAUAUGCAGUAUACUAAAUCCUUCUGUAAACAUGCAGCAUGUGUACGGUGAUUCUUUCUAAAGUACAUUUAAAUUACCAGAGCGUUCUGCUCCUUAGAAAGUUUUGAUGUCGUCUCCUUGCAGGCUGCUUGUCGUCUCUGGUGGGCUCGGUUCCUCGUCUUCAUGCGUCCACUGCAGCUGUGUCUCAUCCUUGAGUCCACUUCUCAUCCUUCUUUGAGUUUUGAGUCAAGGAGUCAUCAGAAUUUGGAGCUGAAAAAACAACAGGAAAACAAGAUUCAAGGAUGGGCUUUCAACUUUGGGUGUUAUUCAUGCUUUGGAACAACAUGCAGCGGUCUUCAAAGCCUUCAUGUGUUCAAGUGAGGAAGAGCUGACCUCUGCAAAACUAGAGGACAUCUUUGAGUUCCAACUCAGCAUAAAGGGUAGCACAAGACAACAAGACAAGAAAAAACCAGAGUACUGGGAUUCUGGCAUGAUUAUCUGCUUGAAACAGAAGAAAAACAGACAGGUCUCUCCCUCAACGACAUCCUGAUGUUCGCAACAGGGUUGAACACAUUGCCUCCAGCAGGAAUUCAUCCACGGCCCAGACUGGUUUUCCAGGAGACUUCAAGGUUCCCUGUCAGCAGCACCUGCGCCAACACAAUUCAGAUACCAAUGUCCCCAGAUUACAAACAGUUUUGGAAUUCAAAACUUGCCUGGAUUUGGGUUGUACUAGGUUUUAGGAGGUAUUUUACACUGUUCUGUAAAUAGUUCACUCACAUGUGUUUAAAUGUCAGCCAUGUUCUUCAGUGUUAUAGUUUUCAACACAGGACCUCCAGGUCGAUGGCUGCAAUAGACCACUACGUCUCUGUAGGUCCUCAAAGUGUGCCUGGAGAUGGACAUCUCCUCAUGGAGUACCUUAUGACACAGUACUAAACUGUCCCAAUUCCUCCUGAGAAACUGGGAGACCACAGUUUGUCCCACCAAACCUGGAGGCGAAAAAUCCAAAGCAUA